UGCGAUCAGUCGUCCAAAACCUUCAGUUGAUUCAGCAUUUUAAGAAGCAGAGCACUGAGCAUUCGCCUCAAAGAGAGAGACUCAACUUCUGGAUGGACAUUAUUGUGGAGGCCACACAAGGAAGCACCAACGGCCUGCGUUUUCCGGUGUUGAUUCUGGAGCCGACUAAAGUGUACCAGCCCUCGUACGUGUCCAUUAACAGUGAAGCUGAAGAGAAGAAUGUUUCUAUAUGGCAUGUGUCACCUGCUGAGACGAAGGGAAUACAUGAGUGGAACUUCACAGCAUCAUCCAUCAAAGGGAUUAG
Molecule: long non-coding RNA, 304 nt
Organism: Sinocyclocheilus grahami
Lineage: Eukaryota; Metazoa; Chordata; Actinopteri; Cypriniformes; Cyprinidae
Exons: 3
Source: RefSeq, a predicted model, not a curated record